RNAcentral lists this ribosomal RNA (496 nucleotides) under uncultured bacterium. Its description in RNAcentral is "partial 16S ribosomal RNA". It matches the Rfam family "Bacterial small subunit ribosomal RNA", at positions 28 to 506 of the family's 1533-position model. The record is from RNAcentral.
GAUGAACGCUGGCGGCGUGCCUAAUACAUGCAAGUCGAGCGAACGGACGAGAAGCUUGCUUCUCUGAUGUUAGCGGCGGACGGGUGAGUAACACGUGGAUAACCUACCUAUAAGACUGGGAUAACUUCGGGAAACCGGAACUAAUACCGGAUGAUAUUUUGAACCGCAUGGUUCAAAAGUGAAAGACGGUCUUGCUGUCACUUAUAGAUGGAUCCGCGCUGCAUUAGCUAGUUGGUAAGGUAACGGCUUACCAAGGCAACGAUGCAUAGCCGACCUGAGAGGGUGAUCGGCCACACUGGAACUGAGACACGGUCCAGACUCCUACGGGAGGCAGCAGUAGGGAAUCUUCCGCAAUGGGCGAAAGCCUGACGGAGCAACGCCGCGUGAGUGAUGAAGGUCUGCGGAUCGUAAAACUCUGUUAUUAGGGAAGAACAUAUGUGUAAGUAACUGUGCACAUCUUGACGGUACCUAAGCAGAAAGCCACGGCUAACUACGU